This 277-nucleotide ribosomal RNA is filed under the name uncultured bacterium. RNAcentral describes it as "partial 16S ribosomal RNA". It matches the Rfam family "Bacterial small subunit ribosomal RNA", at positions 28 to 300 of the family's 1533-position model. The record is from RNAcentral.
GACGAACGCUGGCGGCGUGCCUAACACAUGCAAGUCGUACGGGCCUGGGGGCAACUCCAGGUCAGUGGCGAACGGGUGCGUAACACGUGAGCAACCUGCCCUGCGGAGGGGGAUAGCCGGUCUAACGGCCGGGUAAUACCGCGUACGCCAUCGGGGCCGCAUGGUCCUGGUGGGAAAGCGGCCGCAAGGUCGCGCCGCAGGAGGGGCUCGCGGCCUAUCAGCUAGUUGGUGGGGUAACGGCCCACCAAGGCUAUGACGGGUAGCUGGUCUGAGAGGA